AGCUUUGCACAGUGGCAGUAUCGUAGCCAAUGAGGUUUAUUCGAGGUGUGAUUAUUGCUAACUGAAAAAACUCACUUAGUUUUUAGAUAUUGGCAAACUCAAUCAAAAAGCAUACAUGGGGAACCAGCAGUUAGCGUAAUGGC
Tupaia belangeri (northern tree shrew) is the source of this 143-nucleotide small nuclear RNA. Its record names the gene U4. It matches the Rfam family "U4 spliceosomal RNA". Rfam says of the family: U4 small nuclear RNA (U4 snRNA) is a component of the major U2-dependent spliceosome. The structure of U4 snRNA from yeast and human has been reported. The record is from Ensembl. Lineage: Eukaryota; Metazoa; Chordata; Mammalia; Scandentia; Tupaiidae.